This 5215-nucleotide long non-coding RNA is filed under the name Sus scrofa (pig). Its description in RNAcentral is "lncRNA (ENSSSCG00050011468.1)". Lineage: Eukaryota; Metazoa; Chordata; Mammalia; Artiodactyla; Suidae. The record is from RNAcentral.
UACCUUACAGCCACAGCAACGUGGAAUCUGAGCUGUGUCUGCAGCCUACACAACAGCUCAGGGCAACUCUGGAUCCCCCAUUCACUGAGCGAGGCCAGGGAUCAAACCUGCAUCCUUAUGGAUACUAGUCUGGUUCGUUUCUGCUGAGCCACAAUGGGAUCUCCCUUGAAGGGUAGCUUUUUAUUUGGAAUUCUUGCUGAUAGUUUUUUCCUUUGUUGAGCACUUUAACUCUGUCAUCUCAUUGCCCUCUUACUUCCCAGGUUGUUAUGUGAAAUAAUUUAUUAAUAUAAUUGAGGACCAUUGUCCUUCUGGGACUCCAAUAUAUUAUUCUGCUUCACAGUGAGCCAUAGGUCCCUAUGUUUUUGUUCACCAUUCUUCAUUCUUUUUUCAUUCUUCUCUUCAGACUUAAUAAUUUCAGUUGUCUCAUCUCAAAGUUCACUGAUUCUGCCUAAUUAAAUCUGCUGUUGAACUUUUCUUAGGAGUUUUCACUUAGUUUUAUUAUAUUUUGCAGCUCCAGGAUUUCUAUUUGGUUCAUCUUUGUAAGUUCUCUUUGUUUAUAUUCCCAUUUUUUUUGUUUAAAAUUUUUUUCUGUUUUCUUUUACUUCUUUGCUUAUGGUUUUCUUUAGCUUUCUGCAAAUUUUUAAAAGUGUUGAUUUAAAGUCUUUAUAACCUCAAUGUCUGGGCUUCUUUAAGGACAAUUUCUGUCAAUUUAUUUUUUUCCUUUGCCCCAUCAUAUCUUUUUGUUUCAUUGUAUACUUUGUGAUUUUGUGUUGUUUGAAAAUUGGACAUCAGAAUAUUAUUCUAUGGUAACUCAAUCAAAUUCUCUUCCUGUCUUAGGUCUUUUUCUUGAUGGUUGAAAGCUGACCUUUUGUUCAGCUGACAUAGUGUUAAGACAAAGAUUUCCUUCAAUUCCAAGAGCAAAAGUCAAAGCAAAAGAAAAAAAACAAAUCACAAAAAUGCUGCCCCCACUGUGCUGGGGACUCCUUUAAUCCUAGCUUGGCUGUUCACAACCUCUGCUCAGUCUUCCUUUUCUGCUUGUUUGUGCUGAGCCUAGAGACCAACCUGGGGUCUCUCAGGUCUUUUCUGAGCAUGCACCCUGUCCUGGGCACUCAUGUGCCUUUCUAAAUUGUGCCAGUAACAUGGGUGCUUAUGAAGCCCUAAUUUCUGAAGGAAAUUCUCCUGGCUUGUUCUCCGAGGCUUUUGUGGACUCUGUAUAUCUCAGCUGUUAUCUUUUGCCCCUCAUGGCUGUGGAUUUUCCUCGGCCAGACAAUAUUUUCAAGCAAUGCUCACCAAGAUUCUGCCCCAAGUGGGCUGAGUUGGCAAAACAGAAAUGAAAGGCUUACAUCAGCCCUCAGGCAGCCGCCAGAUAGGUCAGGACAGGCAAAUGCAACAACUUGUAGAUACACUCUGCCUUUCUCCUUCUAAAGCCAGAAAUCAGGGCCCCACACCAGCUUGCAGGCUGCAUCUCAGGCCAGGGAGGGUGGUGGCAAGUGAGAAUGGCCCAAAGCUUUCUGACUCUUUCCAAGUUUCCUUUUUCUUAAUUCAGCACUUGCAUGGUUGCUUGUCAGACUUGACUGUUUUCCAGAAUUGUGACAUAGUUGGUUUUGACAGUUUCUGCCUUUUUUUUUUUUUUUUCCCAUGGAGGGAGAGUGUUUUGGAGCUGUGAACUCCACCAUUUUGCUGCAGUUACACCCUUUCCUUUUACUUUCAAUCUCUAAAUUUCACAGGGUAUCUACUAAAUUAACUGGAUUUCUUCUACUUUCCCAUUCAUAUGGCUAUAUACACUCACAUAUACAUAUAUAUAUACAAACAUAUGUAUGUAUAUAUGUGCAUAUAUAUGUAUAUGGUCAGAUCUAGUGCUCUUAUUAACAGAAAUUAACCUAGUGCACAUUGUUUCAAAAUGAUAGAAUAUUUAUGAAAUUUUUAUGCCUGAGGAACAUUCAUUUUCAAACUUAGAGGAAGACUUUAGGUAUUUCUGAAAUUCAGAUCAGGUGAUUAGCUGUAAAUAUAUUUUUGGACUUGUCUUUACAAAUCUAACAUUUCAAGGGUAGAAAACUCUGAAUAAUUUUUAUUUAUUCUUGUUUGUUUUUGCUUUUCUGUUGAGGUCUAAUUGACAGAUGUUAUUAUAUUAGUUGCAGGUGUACCACAUGAUGAUUUGACACUUGUAUAUAUCAGGAAAUAUUUACUACAGGAGGCCUAGUUAACAUCUAUAUCACCUUGCUUUAUUUUAUUUAUUUAUUUAUUUAUUUUUGCUUUUUUAGGGUUGCACCUGUGGCAUAUGGAAGUUCCCAGGCUAGAGGUCAGCACCUCUAGCCCUGUACCCUGUACCACAGCAGCAGCAACAUGGGACCUGAGCUGUGUCUGUGACUUACACCACAGCUCACUCUAAUGCCACAUCCUUAAUCCACUGAAUGACGCCAGGGAUUGAACCCACAUCCUCAUGGAUCCUAGUCAGGUUUGUUACCACAGAGCCACAAUGGUAACUUCAUCUUGCUUCAUUUUUAGCAUGCAAGGAAAAAAAAUUGUUGUUUCUUUUUUAUUAUUAUUAUUAUAGUAGAUUUACAAUGUUCUGUCAAUUUUUGCUGUCCAGCAAAGUGACCUGGUUAUACAUAUAUACAUUCUUUUUUUUCUUCCUGCCCUAGCUUUCUGCAAGUUGUGUGUGUACCAGUGUCCAUGAAUAGAUGUGUACAUGCACACAGAGGAUUCACAUCAAAUAGGCAUACACCCCAAUAUUCUAUUGAAUUAUUUCUGAAACAUAUGGGUGUGACUUUUGUGUCAUGGAAAAUAUUUGCCUAACUUUUCUCAUAUACAAUAUUUUGUGAAAUACCUGUAUAGAACAAUAUAAAGAGAAUAGGAAGAAUAAGAAGGAAUGUACUUUGACAAACAUCUAGUCUGCAACAUAAUAAUCUGCUAUCUGAGCUUCUACCUGUCAGAUGCAAUCAUAAAUAAAACAUCGAAGGAAGAAGCAAGGGAUUGCUUUUAAGGAAAUGAAAUUAUUAUCUUGAGAAUAUUUCAGAAAUGUGAUUUGAAAGGUCAUAUGCACGACCUAAGUGUUUCUUAGCUUUCCAUUGAUUCCUGGAGGAUCCUGGGCGAGGUACAUUGUGGUGAUGGGCUUGUCUUGUAUCUAGACUCUCAUCCUAAUAGUGUCAGGAAACAAACUCCUUUUGAGGGAAGACUGUUGCUCAAAGCCCCAGAGCAGCUAAGGCAGGCUGUGUCUCAGAGCUUUUUAAGUUGGUUCAAUCCUUCACUGUAAGACCCAGGGCUCUCAAGAGCUAGGUAUAAUGUUCCCUCUUGUGUUUUAAGACUUUCCUGUGGGAUAAUUAAGACAGCAACAAGUACACCAUUUUUAGGCAUCUACCCAAACAAACAGCUCCUGGCAUGAUGACUGCCACUGUCUGGAGAUUUUGUACAUUUUCUUGGUGGGCCAAAUGUCAAGGUGCUGGAUAUCAAAGGUGUGAAUUCACUGGGAUGAAGGGAGGAAAAAAUCUGCCACAUUUGCCACUGAGUAAUGGAAAUCUGAUAUAUAUGGGGCAUGCUUGCUGACAGAUACUGACAGAUGUAGAACUGCUUCAUUUGUUUAGUUGGUUUUAAAGCCAUAACCAAAUAGUUGAUACAUCUGCAUAGACUUCAUCCAAAGUCUCUGGAUUUAAGUACUUAGACAUUAAGAGUCUUACCAAGUGGCAUUUUGCAUUUUGUUCUGUUCUGUGCUGUUUAUGCAGAAGUCAACAGGAUCUUUAACCUUUGAGAAACCUGCAUUAAAUCAAUAUUACAUUAGUGUUUUAAUGUCAUUAGCUCAAUAGCUGUAUGCUGAGAUAUUUCCUCCAUUCAGAAAGUCAGGAAUCAGUAGAUAAAAAUGAGAUGAUUAACCAUGAAUACCUGCUCCUCACACUUUUAUGUACACACAAUUAUCUCUUUCCAUCCAAAGCUUGACUUUAUUACCUGUAAUUCAGGAAGUAUAAGCCCACACCCUGUACCUUGCAUAGCAAUGGAGCUCUCUUGGUGACCUCACACGUUUCCAUGGCAGCAUAUUCAUCUGGAAAUAGUACAGCACUUUGAUUUAUAGGUGGUCAAAGAUGGACUUCUGAAUUAUACACAUUAAAAUGGCUAGUUUCAAAAGAAAUUCUUAGGUUGGAAAUUGCACAGUACAAGAUUAUAAAUUAACACAGUAUUUAUAUUUUUAAUGAUUAUGCAUUUCUAAUUCUGAGAUUAAAGGAGGGAUUUUGUCAUUCAAAUGCCUUACAGUUAGAAUAUUUACAUGGAAGUUACAUAGUAGCAAUGGAGUCAAGAAAUCUGGUUUUGGCAACUCUCUACUACUACUGGUCACAUUACAGCCUGUCGCCAUGGCUGUUAACCUGCUAAGGCUGCCGUAAGGAAAUACCAUUGACUAGGAGGCUUAAACAUCAGACGUUUAUUUUCUCACACUUUUGGAGGCUGCAGGUCCUAACGGAGGUCAAGGUCAGUUUUCAGUGGCUAGUAAAGAUUCUCUUGGUUUGCAGACUUGGCUUUUCCUCUGAAUGCAGCUAGAGAGAGGGAGGUGGGGUGGAGGGAGAGAGGAGGAGAGAGAGGAUAGAGAGAAAGGGAGUGGGCAGGCCCUGGUCCCUUUUGAUAAGAACAUUAAUCCCAUGAGAUCACCUUUGGAACCUCAUUUAAACUCCAAAAACUUUAAUUGUUUCCGUAGAGGCCCUGGGUCCAAAGGCAGGCAUGCUGGGCCUUAGAGCCUCCAGUGAAUGAAUGGGGUUGGGGGGUGCACAGCAUUCAUUCCAGACACUAGGCCUCCUGCUCUCCAUCUUCCCCUGUGCUGGCUCUUCAUUGUCUGAUUCUAAAAGGGAAAAGAACUUGCAUCUCCUGAGACCACUCAGGAUGUCUGCAUGCUGGGCAUUUGGUCUCAGGAGAGAUUGUUCAGUUGGACAAAAGUUACUUUUAACUUCAGUAAAGCAGUAAUGAACUAGAGAUGAAUGUUUGUUUAAAAAAAAAAAAGUUUUCUAAAAACUUCCUCUUCUUCUGUAAUAUCUGGAGCAAAGUUAGGAAAGAAGAUGUUUUAUGUGUUCUGGGCUGCGAAGGCUGCUACGUGACCAGGACCUGGCCAUGAAUGACCUGGAGACUCUGAGCCCCCGACUGGCUCCUUCUCACUUGCUCCCCUCCGUGAAUCUGGGACAUCAGGAGAACUAUUUCCAGGCCUGACUAUGUUUCUAGAGGCAGAAAAAAAAAAAAAAAA